UACGUAGGAGGCAAGCGUUGUCCGGAAUUACUGGGUGUAAAGCGCGUGUAGGCGGCAGGCCAAGUCUGUGGUGAAAUCGCUCGGCUCAACUGGGCGGGGUCCAUGGAAACUGGUCAGCUGGAGGACGGUAGAGGUGAGUGGAAUUCCCGGUGUAGUGGUGAAAUGCGUAGAGAUCGGGAGGAACACCGGUGGCGAAGGCGGCGACCUGGGUCGAUACUGACGCUGAGGCGCGAAAGCGUGGGGAGCAAACAGG
Molecule: ribosomal RNA, 253 nt
Filed under: uncultured bacterium
Lineage: Bacteria
Description: partial 16S ribosomal RNA
Rfam family: Bacterial small subunit ribosomal RNA
Source: RNAcentral